This 438-nucleotide ribosomal RNA is filed under the name uncultured bacterium. RNAcentral's name for it is "partial 16S ribosomal RNA". It matches the Rfam family "Bacterial small subunit ribosomal RNA", at positions 339 to 795 of the family's 1533-position model. The record is from RNAcentral.
CUACCGGGGGCUCCAGUGAGGAAUAUUGCACAAUGGGGGGAGCCCUGAUGCAGCAACGCCGCGUGGAGGAUGACGCAUUUCGGUGUGUAAACUCCUUUUAUAUGUCAAGAAAAUGACGGUAGCAUAUGAAUAAGCACCGGCUAACUCCGUGCCAGCAGCCGCGGUAAUACGGAGGGUGCAAGCGUUACUCGGAAUCACUGGGCGUAAAGGACGCGUAGGCGGGUUGGAAAGUCAGGUGUGAAUCCUACAGCUUAACUGUAGAACUGCACUUGAAACUUCUAAUCUAGAGUAUGGGAGGGGGAGAUGGAAUUAGUGGUGUAGGGGUAAAAUCCGUAGAUAUCACUAGGAAUACCUAAAGCGAAGGCGAUCUCCUGGAACAUUACUGACGCUAAGGCGUGAAAGCGUGGGGAGCAAACAGGACUAGAUACCCCAGUAGUC